This 540-nucleotide ribosomal RNA is filed under the name uncultured archaeon. RNAcentral describes it as "bacterial SSU rRNA". It matches the Rfam family "Archaeal small subunit ribosomal RNA", at positions 96 to 641 of the family's 1478-position model. The record is from RNAcentral.
ACACGUGGAUAACCUGCCCUAAGGUGGGGCAUAACCCCGGGAAACUGGGGAUAAUACCCCAUAGGUUAGAGAUGCUGGAAUGCACUUUAACCCAAAGCUCCGGCGCCUUAGGAUGGAUCUGCGGCCGAUUAGGUAGUUGUUGGGGUAACGGCCCAACAAGCCCGUAAUCGGUACGGGUUGUGGGAGCAAGAGCCCGGAGAUGGACUCUGAGACACGAGUCCAGGCCCUACGGGGCGCAGCAGGCGCGAAAACUUUACAAUGCAGGAAACUGUGAUAAGGGAACCCCGAGUGCCCGUAUACGCGGGCUGUCCAGGUGUGUAAAAAGCAUCUGAAGAAAGGGCCGGGCAAGACCGGUGCCAGCCGCCGCGGUAAUACCGGCGGCUCGAGUGGUGGCCACUUUUAUUGGGCUUAAAGCGUUCGUAGCUUGGUUGUUAAGUCUCUUGGGAAAUCUCACGGCUUAACCGUGAGGCGUCUAAGGGAUACUGGCAACCUAGGGACCGGAAGAGGUGAGAGGUACUCCAGGGGUAGGAGUGAAAUCCU